Molecule: long non-coding RNA, 535 nt
Organism: Pygoscelis adeliae (Adelie penguin)
Lineage: Eukaryota; Metazoa; Chordata; Aves; Sphenisciformes; Spheniscidae
Exons: 2
Source: RefSeq, a predicted model, not a curated record
ACAUGCUAAACCCCGCUCUGAAUAGAGCGAAGUACCGGCACUGGCGUGUGUGCGAUACCUAGCGUGGCCGAUACCGUCACGGUGGAAGAAAUGCGCUGCUUAAAUAAUAAAACAGUAAAACUGAAAGGCUGUUCUCAAAGUCAAGCGUUUUGCACCGUAACAUUGUCUUGAUCUUUGAAGGUGUUAAGAAUCCUAAACUUUGCUCAGUCUCCUAAACUGUUAUUAGUGUUGUGCAUCAUUAUUGAAAAAGAAAAUGAUUGACAAUCAUCCAUAAAAAUGUCAUAUUCCCUGUUCUUUGAUUAUCUGUGCCUGCCUAUCAGUGUUUCUCUGACUCAUUUGAUAAGGAUUAGUUAUCACUUGCACAUUUUUACUCUCUAAUUUACUGGUGUAAUUUAACUUAUGGGCCAACUUUGUUUUUUGACUGGAAUUUCCUGGAAUCCUGUGUUCUACAGAAAGGCAAAACUGGUUUUCCUGCAAUGUUCAAUAGAUUGCUGUGGCUUUAUACUCUUUAUUAAAAUAAUACUGUAUAUGCUUA